RNAcentral lists this ribosomal RNA (861 nucleotides) under uncultured archaeon. RNAcentral's name for it is "bacterial SSU rRNA". It matches the Rfam family "Archaeal small subunit ribosomal RNA", at positions 474 to 1337 of the family's 1478-position model. The record is from RNAcentral.
CACCCGCAGCUCGAGUGGUGGUCACUUUUAUUGAGCCUAAAGCGUUUGUAGCCGGUUUUGCAAAUCUUCAGAUAAAUUCCUCUGCUUAACAGAUGAUCUUCUGAAGAGACUGCGAGACUUGGGACCGGGUGAGGUUGAAGGUACUUCCGGGGUAGGGGUAAAAUCCUGUAAUCCUGGAAGGACGACCGGUGGCGAAGGCGUUCAACUAGAACGGAUCCGACGGUGAGGAACGAGGGCUAGGGUAGCAAACCGGAUUAGAUACCCGGGUAGUCCUAGCUGUAAACACUGCCCACUUGGUGUUGCCCCUCCGAUGAGGGGAGGCAGUGCCGGAGCGAAGGUGUUAAGUGGGCCGCUUGGGGAGUAUGGUCGCAAGGCUGAAACUUAAAGGAAUUGGCGGGGGAGCACCGCAACGGGAGGAGCGUGCGGUUUAAUUGGAUUCAACGCCGGAAAACUCACCGGGAGCGACCUUUGGAUGAGAGUCAGCCUGAUGAGCUUACUCGAUAGAAGGAGAGGUGGUGCAUGGCCGUCGUCAGCUCGUACCGUAGGGCGUUCACUUAAGUGUGAUAACGAGCGAGACCCCCAUCUCUAAUUGCUAACGUGCAUUCGCGUGCACGCGCACUUUAGAGGGACCGCCAGUGCUAAACUGGAGGAAGGAGGGGUCGACGGCAGGUCAGUACGCCCCGAAUCUCCCGGGCAACACGCGCGCUACAAAGGGCAGGACAAUGAGUUGCCACCUCGAAAGGGGGAGCUAACCUCGAAACCUGUUCGUAGUUAGGAUUGAGGGCUGUAACUCGCCCUCAUGAAUGUGGAUUCCGUAGUAAUCGCGGGUCAACAGCCCGCGGUGAAUAUGCCCCUGCUCCU